Molecule: long non-coding RNA, 165 nt
Organism: Schistocerca serialis cubense
Lineage: Eukaryota; Metazoa; Arthropoda; Insecta; Orthoptera; Acrididae
Exons: 2
Source: RefSeq, a predicted model, not a curated record
GGUUGCAAUCUGCUUUGUCGAUAUGAGCUCUCAAAAACAAUUACGUUGUUGUCCCUAAGGUAACUUAAUCUUAUGAUCAUAAAUUAUGGAUCAAAACAACAAACAUAAAUAAAUGAUAUAAUAAUGAAGAGUUUAUUUAUUCUUCAUGUCACCCCAACAAAACAU